GUCUGUGACCGUACCACCCUGAAUGCGCCCGAUCUCGUCCUAUCUCGUCUGAUCUCGGAAGCUAAGCAGGGUCAGGCCUGGUUAUUACUGAUG
This is a ribosomal RNA of Mustela putorius furo (domestic ferret), 93 nucleotides long. NCBI's taxonomy places the organism in Eukaryota, Metazoa, Chordata, Mammalia, Carnivora, Mustelidae. The record is from Ensembl.